This 194-nucleotide unclassified non-coding RNA is filed under the name uncultured Ceratobasidiaceae. RNAcentral describes it as "sequence contains ITS1". Lineage: Eukaryota; Fungi; Basidiomycota; Agaricomycetes; Cantharellales; Ceratobasidiaceae. The record is from RNAcentral.
UUGAAUAUAAACUUAGAGUUGUGCAGCUGCUGGCUCUUUUUUGAGCAUUUGUGCACGCCUUCUCUUUUUUUAUCCACACACACCUGUGCACUUGUGAGACGGGAGGGCUGUUUUGGCCCUUUCGUCUACUAUGAUAUACAAACUCAUUUAAUUUAAACUGAAUGUAAUUGAUGUAACGCAUCAUUAAUUAGAAC